AGGUCUCCAUACAGACUUGACCGGUUGUGGUUCCAUGAAGAUUUUAUGACAGGACUGGAGGACACCUAUUUAUUGACAGUGCCUGAGUGGUUAUAGUUGAAGAAUAGUAAAGUACAGAACUUUGACAUAAGACACUGUGACAUACUAUACAUAAAAUGAUGCAGGAGGUUGUAUUUUGGAUGAGAGGGGAAAGAACACAUUUAUUACUCUGUGCAUUGUGAAGUAACAGUAAUGCAGAAUACCUACAGACCAUGAAGUUGAGAAAUGAAAAGAUGCAGCUGUAAAUUGUUUAAUACGGUGUGUGGGGAAAACAUUGUGGAUAUGAAGCAUAGAAAUCAUGUGUCAAUGUGAAGUAACUGUAACACAGAAUGGCUGGAGACCAUUACCUUAAGAACUGAAGAGAUGCAGGGCAUUGUUCUAUAUGGUGAUUGGUGGAACCAUGGUGCAGUUUUGAAUUUAUAAGGCGUGAAGUUACAGAAAAGCAGAAUAGCUACAGACCAUGAAAUUUAGAAAAUGAAGAGUUGCAUGUCUCAGUUCAGCAUGGUGUAUAUGGGAAACAUUGUGUAUCGCAGACAUGAAAUAAUUUGUGUGAAGUAACAGUAAAGCAGAAUGGCUACAGACAAUUAGUUCAGAACUGAAGAAGAGAUGCAGGUCUUUGUUCUAUAAAUUAUGGUUUAUGAGGGAACCAUGGUGGAAAUUUGGAUUUCAUGGCAGUCAUAGAAAUAUCUAAUAAGUCUGUUGGACAGUGAUGUGUGUACCAGUCUGUCAGACUAUUAUGUGUCUGUCCAGUUGAAAAAUUCGCAGUGGAUGCUUAGUUUCUCACAUAAUUUGGCAGAAUUUUCACACAAGACAGAUUGCAAAAGACUUUAGUACCCAAAAACCUGAAAUGAGAAUGCUUUGACAAUAUAAAGUUUUUCGCAUAGACGGGGAUUGGCCGCCUCUGUAUAUAUAAGUCUACAACUUCUCAGAUUUGACCGAAGACAAUUGUUUGGUGUCGUGGAUGGGUAAAUAAUUCCAUUGUAAAUACUUUUAAUAAAAGUCAGGUACUUUUCCAUGAUACUGUAAAAUUUAAUAGACUUCGUUUAAAUUGCAACGGCAA
This is a long non-coding RNA of Mercenaria mercenaria, 1099 nucleotides long. RefSeq lists it as uncharacterized. The transcript has 8 exons. Lineage: Eukaryota; Metazoa; Mollusca; Bivalvia; Venerida; Veneridae. The record is from RefSeq and is a predicted model, not a curated record.